This 433-nucleotide ribosomal RNA is filed under the name uncultured bacterium. RNAcentral's name for it is "partial 16S ribosomal RNA". It matches the Rfam family "Bacterial small subunit ribosomal RNA", at positions 29 to 507 of the family's 1533-position model. The record is from RNAcentral.
AACGAACGCUGGCGGCAUGCCUAACACAUGCAAGUCGAACGAGACCUUCGGGUCUAGUGGCGCACGGGUGCGUAACGCGUGGGAACCUGCCCUUAGGUUCGGAAUAACUCCCCGAAAGGGGUGCUAAUACCGGAUAAUGUCUUCGGACCAAAGAUUUAUCGCCUUUGGAUGGGCCCGCGUUGGAUUAGCUAGUUGGUAGGGUAAAAGCCUACCAAGGCGACGUUCCAUAGCUGGUCUGAGAGGAUGAUCAGCCACACUGGGACUGGGACACGGCCCAGACUCCUACGGGAGGCAGCAGUGGGGAAUAUUGGACAAUGGGCGAAAGCCUGAUCCAGCAAUGCCUCGUGAGUGAUGAAGGCCUUAGGGUUGUAAAGCUCUUUUACCCGGGAUGAUAAUGACGGUACCGGGAGAAUAAGCACCGGCUAACUCCGUG